AUAAGCCAGCUUGACUGCGAGCGUGACGGCGCGAGCAGGUGCGAAAGCAGGUCAUAGAGAUCCGGUGGUUCUGAAUGGAAGGGCCAUCGCUCAACGGAUAAAAGGUACUCCGGGGAUAACAGGCUGAUACCGCCCAAGAGUUCAUAUCGACGGCGGUGUUUGGCACCUCGAUGUCGGCUCAUCACAUCCUGGGGCUGAAGUAGGUCCCAAGGGUAUGGCUGUUCGCCAUUUAAAGUGGUACGCGAGCGGGGUUUAGAACGUCGUGAGACAGUUCGGUCCCUAUCUGCCGUGGGCGCUGGAGAACUGAGGGGGGCUGCUCCUAGUACGAGA
This 330-nucleotide ribosomal RNA is filed under the name Escherichia coli. Its description in RNAcentral is "partial 23S ribosomal RNA". It matches the Rfam family "Bacterial large subunit ribosomal RNA", at positions 2359 to 2688 of the family's 2925-position model. The record is from RNAcentral. Lineage: Bacteria; Pseudomonadati; Pseudomonadota; Gammaproteobacteria; Enterobacterales; Enterobacteriaceae.